UUCAAUGGCGGUUUAGACAGGGGAGGCUUCGGCCUCACCGGUUGGGUAUUUUCCGGUAUUGCAAACCCUGUCUGAAUCGCCACCAUC
Molecule: non-coding RNA, 87 nt
Organism: Xenorhabdus innexi
Lineage: Bacteria; Pseudomonadati; Pseudomonadota; Gammaproteobacteria; Enterobacterales; Morganellaceae
Source: Rfam